This 366-nucleotide unclassified non-coding RNA is filed under the name uncultured bacterium. Its description in RNAcentral is "contains 16S-23S intergenic spacer region". The record is from RNAcentral.
UCUCCCGUGAGGGAGCAGUCUCGCCUGGCCAUAUAGGCAACAGACAACGGGGGUUGCGUUCGUUACCCCACUGAAGGGAACAGUUCAAACCACGAACUGACGACGGCCAUGCAUCACCUGUCCAGCACCCUCGAAGGCUCCCCUCCUUUCAGAGAGGAUGCAGCUGGAUUUCUAACCUUGGUAAGGUUCUUCGUUUGACGACGAAUUAAGCCACAUAAUCCACUGCUUGUGCGAGUCCCCGUCUAUUCCUUUGAGUUUUAAUCUUGCGAUCGUACUACCCAGGCGGCUCGCUUACCGCGUUAGCUUAGCCUCACAGAGGGUCGAUACUCCGUAAAGCGAGCGAGCAACGUUGAGGGCCAGGACUAC